UCCGGCAUAGCUCAGUGGUAGAGUAGAUGACUGUUAAUCAUUUGGUCCCUGGUUCGAAUCCAGGUGCCGGAG
Transfer RNA from Arcobacter sp., 72 nucleotides. It matches the Rfam family "tRNA". Rfam says of the family: Transfer RNA (tRNA) molecules are approximately 80 nucleotides in length. Their secondary structure includes four short double-helical elements and three loops (D, anti-codon, and T loops). Further hydrogen bonds mediate the characteristic L-shaped molecular structure. tRNAs have two regions of fundamental functional importance: the anti-codon, which is responsible for specific mRNA codon recognition, and the 3' end, to which the tRNAs corresponding amino acid is attached (by aminoacyl-tRNA synthetases). tRNAs cope with the degeneracy of the genetic code in two manners: having more than one tRNA (with a specific anti-codon) for a particular amino acid; and 'wobble' base-pairing, i.e. permitting non-standard base-pairing at the 3rd anti-codon position. Lineage: Bacteria; Pseudomonadati; Campylobacterota; Epsilonproteobacteria; Campylobacterales; Arcobacteraceae. The record is from Rfam.